GAGAGGAACUUGUUCCUCGAGUCGUUGAUUUCACACUGCCGAGAAAAGCCUCUAGCUAGAAUAACGGUGCCCGUACCGCAAACCGACACAGGUAGUCAAGAUGAGAAUUCUAAGGUGAGCGAGCGAACUCUCGUUAAGGAACUCGGCAAAAUGACCCCGUAACUUCGGGAGAAGGGGUGCUCUUUGAGGUUCACGCUUCGAAGAGCCGCAGUGAAUAGGCCCAAGCGACUGUUUAUCAAAAACACAGGUCUCUGCUAAACCGUAAGGUGACGUAUAGGGGCUGACGCCUGCCCGGUGCUGGAAGGUUAAGAGGAGUGGUUAGCGCAAGCGAAGCUACGAAUCGAAGCCCCAGUAAACGGCGGCCGUAACUAUAACGGUCCUAAGGUAGCGAAAUUCCUUGUCGGGUAAGUUCCGACCCGCACGAAAGGCGUAACGAUUUGGGCACUGUCUCAACGAGAGACUCGGUGAAAUCAUAGUACCGGUGAAGAUGCCGGUUACCCGCGACAGGACGGAAAGACCCCGUGGAGCUUUACUGUAGCCUGAUAUUGAAAUUCGGUACAGUUUGUACAGGAUAGGUAGGAGCCUUAGAAGCGUGAGCGCUAGCUUACGUGGAGGCAUUGGUGGGAUACUACCCUAAUUGUAUUGGAUUUCUAACCCGCAGCACUUAUCGUGCUGGGAGACAGUGUCAGGCGGGCAGUUUGACUGGGGCGGUCGCCUCCUAAAGAGUAACGGAGGCGCUCAAAGGUUCCCUCAGAAUGGUUGGAAAUCAUUCAUAGAGUGUAAAGGCAUAAGGGAGCUUGACUGCGAGACCUACAAGUCGAGCAGGGUCGAAAGACGGACUUAGUGAUCCGGUGGUUCCGCAUGGAAGGGCCAUCGCUCAACGGAUAAAAGCUACCCCGGGGAUAACAGGCUUAUCUCCCCCAAGAGUUCACAUCGACGGGGAGGUUUGGCACCUCGAUGUCGGCUCAUCGCAUCCUGGGGCUGUAGUCGGUCCCAAGGGUUGGGCUGUUCGCCCAUUAAAGCGGUACGCGAGCUGGGUUCAGAACGUCGUGAGACAGUUCGGUCCCUAUCCGUCGUGGGCGUAGGAAAUUUGAGAGGAGCUGUCCUUAGUACGAGAGGACCGGGAUGGACAUACCUCUGGUGUACCAGUUGUCGUGCCAACGGCAUAGCUGGGUAGCUAUGUAUGGACGGGAUAAGUGCUGAAAGCAUCUAAGCAUGAAGCCCCCCUCGAGAUGAGAUUUCCCAACUUCGGUUAUAAGAUCCCUCAAAGAUGAUGAGGUGAAUAGGUUCGAGGUG
RNAcentral lists this ribosomal RNA (1296 nucleotides) under Staphylococcus pseudintermedius. RNAcentral describes it as "partial 23S ribosomal RNA". It matches the Rfam family "Bacterial large subunit ribosomal RNA", at positions 1570 to 2869 of the family's 2925-position model. Lineage: Bacteria; Bacillati; Bacillota; Bacilli; Caryophanales; Staphylococcaceae. The record is from RNAcentral.